UCUCUCUUCUGGAUUGCGAAAGAAAAAAUGCAUCAUACACAAAUGUCCUAAUAUUACUGCAUACAGACACAGCUGGCGACUCUGGCGAGAUAGAAUUCGCAAUAUAAUGUCUAUAUAGCAAUAAUAAGUGUACGUGUAUUUUCUUCAUAAUUUCUCCAGUACUGAUAGCAGCCCAGAUAGCAAGCACUUUUGGGCCGAUUCCGGUAGAAAAGCGGCACUGUCGGCUCACUGUCGACGUCGAUGAAAAGAUUAUGGGCCAUAACUCUGCCGACUGUACACAACGCAUCUGGCUGACAGACAGCGUUUUCUUUAUGGGCCGGUCUCGGCUGAAAUAGUUGUACUCGCGGCAGGUCCAUAUAACUCGGUAUAGAUCUAUCGGCCCGAGUUCGUUUCGUAAUAGGCGGGCCCCCAAAUAUCAAGCACUUUUGGGCCGAUUCAGGUUUAAGCGCGCCAACAUCGACUCAAUUUCAGAAUCAGUGAAAAGAUAAUGGGCCAGAGCCGUGUGGACUGUACGGCUGACAGGCGGCUUUUUCUGAACGGGCCAAUCACGACUGAAAGCUCGUUAUCUGUUUUCGGCCCGAGCUCGUUUGUCACGGGCGGGCCACUGCUGGAGUUAAGGACUUCAGCCGCCUGAAAAAGAGUUUUGGCGGUUAAAUCCUGAGGAGAAUCCUGCAGUCAACAUUUCAUGAUCGAGAGAAAGGAUCAGCUGCAAAACGCUGCAGUUCAGAGAAACCCUGCUGAAAUGGAGGAUGAGGGGACCAUGAAGAGGUGGCUGCAACUGGCAGCAAAUUGAAAAGGCGGAUGCAUGAACAGAUGGUUGAGAUGACCACAACAGCCCUGAAUGUCAGCAGAGAACAUGACAACUAAACAAGCUCUGGAGACCGAUCCGCUGUGAAGACCUCGUCGACACAACAGUCUACAGCACAGAUCUUCAGCAAAGAUCACGAGAACCAGACGAGACCUUUGCAAGGCCACUUCAACUUCUCUUCCCUCUACAUAUGCCAUUGUGCUGUGUUCGAUCCUCAAGCUGAAUGAUAUCAGUCCACAAUCUAACUUCUGAUGCAGCUGAAUCAUAAUCACACUGUGUUUGUUUGGCCAGAGGAAAACUGGCCCUCGACUGAGUCUGGUUUCUCCCAGGGUUUUUUCUUCAUUCUGUCUUCUGAUGGAGUUUGGGUUCUUGUCACUAUCGCCUCUGGCUUGCUUAGUUGGACACCUACUUUUCAAUAAUAUUGAUGACUGCAUUGACACUAUUGGAUGAGAACUCAACAGAGCUGGAUUAUGACAUUACUGUUUUCUGCAGAACUGCUUUAUAGCUGAAUUGAACUCAUUGAACUGAACUGAAACAACACUGAAAUGACUUCAGCUGAACAAUCACACUGUCUUUUGCUCCAUUACAGUAUUUAAUUCUGUUUGCAUAAUUGAAUUCACUAUUUUCCAGUUUAUCACUGUAAAGCUUCUUUGAAACAAACUGUAAUGUAGGUUAUAAAGCACUUUGUGAAGGUGACUUAACUUGAAAUUUGGAAAUUAUUGCUAAAAGAAUUUUUAUGUGUAAGAAAGGAUGUUGUUCCUCCAUUUAAUAUACAGUAAAUAAUUAACUUAGUAUUUAGUGGUUUAAAAUGUAUGUUGUUAGUAAAUGUUUAUAGUGUAUUCAUUGUUAAUAAUACUUAUAGUGUAUUUGUUAAUUUUAUAAUAAAAUGUCUUAAUCUUUUUAAAGGGUUGAUUGUGUUUCACUUGAAUUACAUUUAGCAGUUUCUGGACCACAUCUGGCCCGGGGACCAAGCCGAAUCUCAGCCAGAUGUGUUUUACAGUGCCUGGGCCAGACCUGGGCCACAUAAAACGAUUUAAGUCAAUUUCCAGUGUGCUGGCCAGAUCUGGGCCACAUCCAUAAAUAAGAGUCUUUUUACAGGGUGUGGGCCGCAUCUGGGCCAGAGGAAGUUGUUUUUGUCCGUUUUCAGUGUGAGGACCAGUUUUGGGCCGGGGACCCAGCCAGAACUGGGCCGGAAUUGAAGCAAGGAUGUGGCCCAGUAGUGGGCCGGACAAAUUUUGCUAUCUGGGAGAGCUUAUCGAUACACCGGUCUUUCAUAAUUUAGCCCCGUGGCCAAUAUAAUAGCUACCGGGUUUCGGUACCCAUCCCUAUUUGAACCUUUUUUAAUAGUUGAGUUUGAGUCCCUCAAUUGUCCUCAGUCUGAAAAGAUGAAUCUCAAAAUCAUACAGCCACUGCUGGAAAGGGUUCAAAUAUGCAAAAAUGCUU
This is a long non-coding RNA of Megalobrama amblycephala (Wuchang bream), 2251 nucleotides long. RefSeq lists it as uncharacterized. The record is from RefSeq and is a predicted model, not a curated record. NCBI's taxonomy places the organism in Eukaryota, Metazoa, Chordata, Actinopteri, Cypriniformes, Xenocyprididae. The transcript has 3 exons.